Molecule: ribosomal RNA, 773 nt
Filed under: Kudoa cheilodipteri
Lineage: Eukaryota; Metazoa; Cnidaria; Myxozoa; Multivalvulida; Kudoidae
Description: eukaryotic LSU rRNA
Rfam family: Eukaryotic large subunit ribosomal RNA
Source: RNAcentral
ACUUAAGCAUAUCAGUAAGCAGAGGAAAAGAAAACAACUGUGAUUCCCUUAGUAACUGCGAGUGAAGCGGGAUAAGCCCAUCGUUUAAUCUCCCCGGACUAUGGACGGGGCGAAAUGUAACGGUAUGGAUAGGUUCUCUACCAACUUGAUGUCUGGUCAAAGUCCUCCGGAUUGAGGUGCCAGAGAGGGUUACAGCCCCGUGUGUGACUGGACUGAGUUGGGUAUGUGGCCGAUUCCGAGAGUCGGGUUGUUUGGGACUGCAACCUAAAGUAGGUGGUAAACUCCACCCAAGGCUAAAUAUUGACACGAAACCGAUAGCGAACAAGUACUGUGAAGGAAAGUUGAAAAGAACUCUGAAAAGAGAGUUAAAAGUACGUGAAACCGCUAACGGGGAAGCGGAAGGCAGUGUCGAGAUUGAGUGAGUGAGUCUGUUCAGGUGUCCAACUUGAUGUUGAUGUUGUUGAUGUUGAUGUUGUUGACGUGGGUUCAUGAGCAGGCUAGCUUUGCUUGAUGCGUCAGGACUAUUGGUGUGCGAUGGUUCAAUCGUUGGCAUGGCUUCGGCAACACCUAAUUACUUGAUUAUUAGUUAGGCUUGUGGUUGCGGUCAGCGAUCCACCUCGUGUGCUGAUAUGUGUGGGAUGAGGCGUUGGUGAUGUAGUGUCGGUUGGUGUUGUAUGGUGGUUCGUGCUGGUCACAGUGUGGCUACGUGCGGACAAGUCGUGUGAUAGUUCAACAACCAAUGCCAGCUCCUGACGUGAUACCUAACCUUCCGA